RNAcentral lists this ribosomal RNA (435 nucleotides) under uncultured bacterium. RNAcentral describes it as "partial 16S ribosomal RNA". It matches the Rfam family "Bacterial small subunit ribosomal RNA", at positions 29 to 507 of the family's 1533-position model. The record is from RNAcentral.
AGUGAACGCUGGCGGCAGGCCUAACACAUGCAAGUCGAGCGGGCAUCUUCGGAUGUCAGCGGCAGACGGGUGGGUAACACGUGGGAAGGUACCCUUCGGUUCGGAACCACUCUGGGAAACUGGAGCUCAUACCGGAUACGCCCUUACGGGGGCAGGUUUACUGCCGAAGGAUCGGCCCGCGUCUGAUUAUUUAGUUGGUGGGGUAACGGCCUACCAAGGCGACGAUCAGUAGAUGGUCAGAGAGGCUGAGCAGACACUCCGGGGCUGAGACACGGCCGAGAAUCUUGCGCGAGGGGGGAGUGGGUAAUAUAGGAAAAUGGGGUGAAGCAUGAAGGACCCAGGACUCGAAAGCGAUGUAGUCCGGAGAGAAGUAAAGCUCUUUUAUCCGUGACGGUAAUGACGGUACCGAAAGAAUAAGCCCCGGCUAACUUCGUG